This 213-nucleotide unclassified non-coding RNA is filed under the name Hevea brasiliensis (rubber tree). Lineage: Eukaryota; Viridiplantae; Streptophyta; Magnoliopsida; Malpighiales; Euphorbiaceae. The record is from RNAcentral.
UUUGUGGAUUGUUGCAUUUUCGAGGUUUGUUGAUUGUUUUUCAAGGGACGGAAUUAGCAGAGGAGAUGGAGCAGAACCACUUCUGCAGCCAUUGCCACUUUAUUUCUUCCUCAUUAGGUUUUUUGGGUAAUUUUGGUAAUUGUUUGCUUAAGAUAUAGAUUUAUUCCUUUUUUUUUUUUGAAAAAGGAAUUGGCAAAAUCAAUAAUUUCAUAU